This 28-nucleotide small RNA is filed under the name Bombyx mori (domestic silkworm). RNAcentral describes it as "ovarian small RNA-28488". Lineage: Eukaryota; Metazoa; Arthropoda; Insecta; Lepidoptera; Bombycidae. The record is from RNAcentral.
UCGAUGGAACGCAAGCGCAGAGUUACGU